RNAcentral lists this transfer RNA (74 nucleotides) under bacterium HR18. RNAcentral describes it as "tRNA-Lys". It matches the Rfam family "tRNA". Rfam says of the family: Transfer RNA (tRNA) molecules are approximately 80 nucleotides in length. The record is from RNAcentral.
GACCCCGUAGCUCAGGUGGUAGAGCAUCUGACUUUUAAUCAGAGGGUCGCAGGUUCGAGUCCUGCCGGGGUCAC